UAAAAGAUAAGCUAAGAAAGCUUACGGGUUCAUACCCCGUCGAUGAUAUAUUCUCUUUUAA
RNAcentral lists this transfer RNA (61 nucleotides) under Sphaeroma serratum. RNAcentral's name for it is "tRNA-Met". Lineage: Eukaryota; Metazoa; Arthropoda; Malacostraca; Isopoda; Sphaeromatidae. The record is from RNAcentral.